ACGAACGCUGGCGGCAGGCUUAACACAUGCAAGUCGAACGCGUGUAGCAAUACACGAGUGGCGCACGGGUGAGUAAUACUUGGGAACGUGCCCUUCAGUCUGGGAUAACAGCGGGAAACUGCUGCUAAUACCGGAUAUUCCCUCCGGGGGAAAGUUUUUCGCUGAAGGAUCGGCCCAAGCCAGAUUAGGUAGUUGGUGAGGUAAUGGCUCACCAAGCCUACGAUCUGUAGCUGGUCUGAGAGGACGGCCAGCCACACUGGAACUGAGACACGGUCCAGACUCCUACGGGAGGCAGCAGUGGGGAAUAUUGGACAAUGGGGGAAACCCUGAUCCAGCCAUGCCGCGUGAGUGAUGAAGGCCUUAGGGUUGUAAAGCUCUUUUGCCAGGGAAGAUGAUGACGGUACCUGGAGAAUAAGCACCGGCUAACUUCGU
Molecule: ribosomal RNA, 432 nt
Filed under: uncultured bacterium
Lineage: Bacteria
Description: bacterial SSU rRNA
Rfam family: Bacterial small subunit ribosomal RNA
Source: RNAcentral